RNAcentral lists this ribosomal RNA (226 nucleotides) under uncultured bacterium. RNAcentral's name for it is "partial 16S ribosomal RNA". It matches the Rfam family "Bacterial small subunit ribosomal RNA", at positions 538 to 763 of the family's 1533-position model. The record is from RNAcentral.
GCGUUGUUCGGAUUUACUGGGCGUAAAGGGCGCGUAGGCGGUGCGGUAAGUCACUUGUGAAAUCUCCGAGCUUAACUCGGAACGGCCAAGUGAUACUGCAGUACUAGAGUGCGGAAGGGGCAAUCGGAAUUCUUGGUGUAGCGGUGAAAUGCGUAGAUAUCAAGAGGAACACCUGAGGUGAAGACGGGUUGCUGGGCCGACACUGACGCUGAUGCGCGAAAGCCAG